GUUGGUGUGGCAGAGCUCGGUUUAUUGCAAAAGGCCUAAGCCCUUUACACAGAGGUUCAAGUCCUCUCUCCAACU
Molecule: transfer RNA, 75 nt
Filed under: Gempylus serpens (snake mackerel)
Lineage: Eukaryota; Metazoa; Chordata; Actinopteri; Scombriformes; Gempylidae
Description: tRNA-Leu
Rfam family: tRNA
About the family: Transfer RNA (tRNA) molecules are approximately 80 nucleotides in length. Their secondary structure includes four short double-helical elements and three loops (D, anti-codon, and T loops).
Source: RNAcentral